UCAUUACAUUGCCCAGGCUGGUCUUGAACUUCUGGACUCAAGCAAUCCUCCUGCUUCAGCCUCCCAAAGUGCUGGGCUUACAGGCAUGAAUCUGUAACCCAAAUGCGUGGCCAGUAUGCAUUUUUUAAGUAUGCAUGAAUAUAAAAGCCUGUGGUCAAAUACUUUUAAACUAGGUUUCAACAAAUAUAUAUCACUUGCCUGUUACUGGUUUAUUGUUAAGAGUUCCAGCUUUGGAUAAAGCAACCUGAGUUUGAAUCUCUUGCUGCUUUAUAGUCAGGAAUUCUUAGGUUGUGAGAGGUUAUUUAACUUCUCUGUGCUUGGGUUUCCUAAUCUGUAAAAUGGGAUAACAAUAGAACUUACCUCACAAGUUUGGGUAUUAUGAAGAUUAAAGAAGAUAGUGUAUGUAAACCUCUUGUCAUCAUUUUUAUCAGGUGUUGUAGUAACAUAAUAAUAUUAUGGACAUAAUAAUAGUCCUCUUUUUUUUGGCUUUUCACCCCUUGGGCAUAGUUCAUGAAUGCGUAUGCCAUUAGUUUUGUGUAGGUAGAGGCCAUCCUUAUGAUACACUUUCAUGGUUAAAAAAAAAUUUGCUACUAUUUCAGGUACCACUUUGAGGUAGUUGGAUUUAAUUCUUAUGGGGUACAGGCUGGCUAAUCUCAUGAAAUCAGCAUUUUAAAAUACACAUUUUCAUUAAACUUUUUUUUUUUUUAAACAGCAAUGAGAUUUAUUUAAUGAAAACUGUGACUAACACUGGCUUUUGCUUUGGGCUGCCUUGAAUUUUCAGUGUGUUUUGUGUAAUUUUGUUAUGUUGAUGAUGGAAUGGAGUUGAGUCCAGUAUUUUCUCUAGAGGUUCACUUAAAUUCAGUGGUGAGUAUGUAGAAAUGUUCCUGCAAGCUCAAGAGCACAUUUGCUCUUGCGUGUACAGGCAAAGGCUUUAGAAGCCAAGGUCAGAAUUCUUAACUUUAAAUAUUACACAGAGAAGACAUUUUGCCCUAUGACCCUAUUCCAAAUAUUGACUAGCCAGGACACAUCUGUGUGGUUUAGUGCAAACUCAUUUCCAUGAGGAGAACAAGGCAAAGUGGGCUAAAAGCAUUAUUUUCACCUCUAAAGAAGAGUUUAAUGAAGCACAUAAGAUGAUGCUUUCACCCAUUAGAAAACUGAAAACAAGAUUCAUUGGUAAGUAAGAGAGAAUCAUGUCAAAAAGAAAUUGAAAGCAAGAUUUACAUUAGAUACAUUUGAGGAAGAUAGCCCCAUCCCUAGGCAAUCUAGAAGUGACUAUUGAAAGAUGACUGUGUUCACUUUGAUACAGUGGUGAUGGGGUUACUAAAUGUUUUUGGAAUUUUGUGAAAAGCUAAGACCGAUUGAGACUAGUCCCUCCAGACUCAAAAUACCAGUAUUCCACUCUCAACAUCAAAGAUGUUUAACAUUUUGACUUUGGUGCCAGCUCCCUAGAAAGUCAUAGAUCUCGCUCAAGCCAGAGGUGCCCAGACUAGUUACUUCUGUGCCAGAAGUGCUGUUUUCAUUUUUCAGGCUUCAAUCUGGCUAAUGUUUUUUAGUUCAUCACAUAAAAGAGAACAAAUGGAUGCUUUGAAAAGAAAAAGAAAUGCUUUCUACUCAUCAGAGCCACUGUAACUGUAAAACAACACCUAAGACAUCUGCACAGAGAUGGAACCUUUCCCUUAAUUAUUUAUUCAUUCAGCACAUUUAUUGAAUGCAGAUUUUUUUUUGUCAGGUUCGAUUCUAGGGUCUGGAGUGCACCAAUGAACAAGGGA
Sapajus apella (tufted capuchin) is the source of this 1769-nucleotide long non-coding RNA. RefSeq lists it as uncharacterized. NCBI's taxonomy places the organism in Eukaryota, Metazoa, Chordata, Mammalia, Primates, Cebidae. The transcript is spliced from 2 exons. The record is from RefSeq and is a predicted model, not a curated record.